RNAcentral lists this unclassified non-coding RNA (354 nucleotides) under uncultured fungus. RNAcentral describes it as "partial contains 5.8S ribosomal RNA and internal transcribed spacer 2". The stretch from base 1 to 133 matches the Rfam family "5.8S ribosomal RNA", at positions 22 to 154 of the family's 154-position model. Lineage: Eukaryota; Fungi. The record is from RNAcentral.
UGGUUCUGGCAUCGAUGAAGAACGCAGCGAAAUGCGAUAAGUAAUGUGAAUUGCAGAAUUCAGUGAAUCAUCGAAUCUUUGAACGCACAUUGCGCCCAUUAGUAUUCUAGUGGGCAUGCCUGUUCGAGCGUCAUAUCAACCCUUAAGCCUAGCUUAGUGUUGGGAAUCUACUGUGCGGGCCAAGCUACCCUGUAGCCUGGCUCCCCUGUAGCUCCCGAAAACCAACGGCGGAUUUGCAGUGUCCUCUGAGCGUAGUAAUUCUUUAUCUCGCUUCUGUUUAGGUGCUGUAGAUGUUGCCGCUAAACCCCUAAAAAUUUUGUGGUUGACCUCGGAUCAGGUAGGAAUACCCGCUGA